Molecule: long non-coding RNA, 1383 nt
Organism: Paramacrobiotus metropolitanus
Lineage: Eukaryota; Metazoa; Tardigrada; Eutardigrada; Parachela; Macrobiotidae
Exons: 3
Source: RefSeq, a predicted model, not a curated record
GCUCUUAUGUAAAAUCUGUGCUCUAAAACCUGUGAUCACUUUGGUACAGACAGCACAAUAUCGUUACUCGCCAGUUUUAUUCGCGCCUGCCGCCUGCGCCGCAAUGUUUAGGACGUUCGCAAUUGUUCUGCUUUGGAUUCUUCCAGCGAUGGCGGAAACCCUUUCGAGGUUCAACGUCAAGCCCAUGACGGUGCGCGAAUGCAGCGCUCGUCCAAUCAAUCCCUGUGGCCCGCCGAGACACAAUCUGUUGGACUGCGCCGGCUACGGAAAACCCUCGAAAAGGGUGAUGCCUUGGACGCCAGGAUAUCGGAGGGUGAGGGCGUACCUGGAGAACUUGACGCUGACUACAAUUCAGUCGCAUGUGAAGCUGAUGUGCCGUCCAGAAGGCAACGUAACAACCCAGGAUUUUGUUGAGCAAGUAAAGCUAUCCACACACACAGUCCUGAUCGCGCCGUCAGAGCAGAAAUCGACAAUGCUGAUUUCUUGACACCGGCGACCUUGGGACGCAUUGGUCAGCAGGUCGUGGUCCUCCGGCUGAAACACAUCCAGCUAUCCAACGUUACAGCUUUUCUACCCGCACUGACACUGGAUAACCUCGUGGAACUGUCCAUUGACAUUCGUCUAACUAGCCUGACUAUUCGCAGAAGCGACUUCCGUGGGCUGCGGAACGUCGCAAUCAUUGUUUUCAUUGAAACGCAGAUUGCGUCCCUGGAAGUAGGAACGUUCACCGAUCUACCGAGUCUAAAGUAUCUGGCGUUGGAUGAGAGCUUCAGUCAGAAAGCUGAGGCGGUGCGCAAGCUACGCUGUGAUUCGCAGUUUGCCUGGUUGCGGAAUUUUAUCAAAUCUCACAAACUGUGCCGGGAAUACGGUCUGGGAGAGGUGUACAUGAUCGGGAGCCUUUACAGCGCACUCCUGCAGUGUUCCUUGGAAACUGACGCUUUUGCGUGCGGCACCGAUAAUGCCACACACGCGGAAGGGAAAACAGCCUAAAUGACUAAUAAAACCACACAUUUCAACGAAAUGGAUUGGCGCGGUUGACUUAACCUUUACGUAAACUGUGACCCUGCGCAAAUCCUGCCUGCAUCGUGGCCUGACAACUUUCUUUUCCUUUUCAACUUUCUUUUCGUUUCAUUUUCGUUUUUUUCAACUUUCUUUUCGUUUUUUUUUCGUUUUCGUUUGCUUCGUAUAUAUGAUCAUUUAAAUUCGAAAGCGGGACCGCUGCAGAAAAAUUUCAUCACAAAAAAGUCGCUUGGACUCUGGUGGAUGCUUCGAUUAGGCGAACGGAAAUGUAGAAAAACAAUAUUAAUCAAGUGCGAAUGAAAUACCAUGGAUUUUCAUAUAGAAGAACUCGUAUUUUUCAGAUCCUGCAAAUAGUCUUCGAUA